AGUGAACGCUGGCGGUAGGCCUAACACAUGCAAGUCGAACGGCAGCACAGUAAGAGCUUGCUCUUACGGGUGGCGCGUGGCGGACGGGUGAGGAAUACAUCGGAAUCUACUUUUUCGUGGGGGAUAACGUAGGGAAACUUACGAUAAUACCGCAUCCGACCUACGGGUGAAAGCAGGGGAUCUUCGGACCUUGCGCGAUUGAAUGAGCCGAUGUCGGAUUAGCUAGUUGGCGGGGUAAAGGCCCACCAAGGCGACGAUCCGUAGCUGGUCUGAGAGGAUGAUCAGCCACACUGGAACUGAGACACGGUCCAGACUCCUACGGGAGGCAGCAGUGGGGAAUAUUGGACAAUGGGCGCAAGCCUGAUCCAGCCAUACCGCGUGGGUGAAGAAGGCCUUCGGGUUGUAAAGCCCUUUUGUUGGGAAAGAAAAGCAGCAGGUUAAUACCCCGCUGUUCUGACGGUACCCAAAGAAUAAGCACCGGCUAACUUCGUG
This 492-nucleotide ribosomal RNA is filed under the name uncultured bacterium. Its description in RNAcentral is "partial 16S ribosomal RNA". It matches the Rfam family "Bacterial small subunit ribosomal RNA", at positions 29 to 507 of the family's 1533-position model. The record is from RNAcentral.